Molecule: unclassified non-coding RNA, 236 nt
Filed under: plant metagenome
Description: partial contains small subunit ribosomal RNA, internal transcribed spacer 1, and 5.8S ribosomal RNA
Source: RNAcentral
UUUCCGUAGGUGAACCUGCGGAAGGAUCAUUACCGAGUGAGGGCCCUCUGGGUCCAACCUCCCACCCGCGUUUAUCGUACCUUGUUGCUUCGGCGGGCCCGCCUCACGGCCGCCGGGGGGCACCCGCCCCCGGGCCCGCGCCCGCCGAAGACACCAUUGAACGCUGUCUGAAGAUUGCAGUCUGAGCAUCUUAGCUAAAUCAGUUAAAACUUUCAACAACGGAUCUCUUGGUUCCG